This 303-nucleotide ribosomal RNA is filed under the name uncultured bacterium. RNAcentral's name for it is "partial 16S ribosomal RNA". It matches the Rfam family "Bacterial small subunit ribosomal RNA", at positions 507 to 807 of the family's 1533-position model. The record is from RNAcentral.
AGCAGUCGCCGCGGUAAUACGGAGGGGGCUAGCGUUGCUCGGAAUGACUGGGCGUAAAGGGCUCGCAGGCGGUUUCUUAAGUCUGAUGUGAAAGCCCCCGGCUCAACCGGGGAGGGUCAUUGGAAACUGGGAAACUUGAGUGCAGAAGAGGAGAGUGGAAUUCCACGUGUAGCGGUGAAAUGCGUAGAGAUGUGGAGGAACACCAGUGGCGAAGGCGACUCUCUGGUCUGUAACUGACGCUGAGGAGCGAAAGCGUGGGGAGCGAACAGGAUUAGAUACCCCGGUAGUCCCUGUCUCUUAUAC